CGCUUUUAGAACUCAGUUUAGAUGUUUCAGAAGAACUCUCAGAGAGGCCCAUGAUCCGGCUUCUCCUCCUACUUGUAUAUUCGGCUGCUGCCUCCAAUAAUGCCUGUUGGAUCCAGAUAUCACACAUACAGGCAUGUGAAGAGAUCUAUCUGGGCAGAAGGAGAAUAAAUACAAAAUGCUGCAGCAGAAACAAAGUUGGUGUGCAGGAGAAAUAGCAAGGGAAGCCCGCAGACAUUUGUGCUUCAGGCUGCCCAUGAAGAGCUGCAGGCCGAUCAGCGCAAACACGCUCAGACAGAACACCGUCAGGAUCAUGACGUCUGAGAGCUUCUUCACAGACUGGAUCAGGGCCCC
Molecule: long non-coding RNA, 351 nt
Organism: Pipistrellus kuhlii (Kuhl's pipistrelle)
Lineage: Eukaryota; Metazoa; Chordata; Mammalia; Chiroptera; Vespertilionidae
Exons: 3
Source: RefSeq, a predicted model, not a curated record